Molecule: ribosomal RNA, 648 nt
Filed under: Gephyromantis striatus
Lineage: Eukaryota; Metazoa; Chordata; Amphibia; Anura; Mantellidae
Description: partial 16S ribosomal RNA
Rfam family: Bacterial large subunit ribosomal RNA (bases 1-445)
Source: RNAcentral
CAUGGUCUAGCUAGCCUAUACAAGCAAAGCGAAUUUUAGUUUGAACCCCCGAAACUAAGUGAGCUACUUCGAAACAGUUUUAAGAACAAACCCGUCUCUGUAGCAAUAGAGUGGGGUGAUUUCCAAGUAGAGGUGACAAGCCUACCGCACUUAGAGAUAGCUGGUUACUCAAGAAAAGAAUCUAAGUUCAACCUUAAGUUUACUAAUUGCAAGAAAAACAAACAAGACUUAAGAGCCACUCAAACAAGGCACAGCUUGUUUGAAACAGGAUACAACCUUAAACAUCGGGUAAUAAUUAAGAACAAACACUAAGUGGGCCUAAAAGCAGCCACCUUUUAAAAAGCGUCAAAGCUUAAUAUUUAUUCUACCCUAAUUCCUUCACAUACCUUUAACCCGUCAACCAUAUUGAGUAAUUCCAUAAGCUUAUGGAAGAUAUAAUGCUAGAACUAGUAACAAGAAAAUCCUUUCUCCAAAGUGUAAGCCUGAGCCAUUAUUGAUGUACUACUGGCAAUUACCGCAAAUGAGUGCACUAUAGUAACCUAAACAAGAAAACCCUAUAAACCCCAACGUCAACCUUACACUAGAACACUUAUGGAAAGAUUAAAAGAAAAAGAAGGAACUCGGCAAAAUUUUACCCCGCCUGUUUAC